Malaclemys terrapin pileata is the source of this 661-nucleotide RNA transcript. It is a transcript of the gene named LYR motif containing 2, with no coding region annotated. The transcript is spliced from 4 exons. The record is from RefSeq and is a predicted model, not a curated record. Lineage: Eukaryota; Metazoa; Chordata; Testudines; Emydidae.
CGGAGGCGGGGCUGCGCGCGCACCCAGGGCCUGGUCGGUGUCAUGGCCGCGUCCCGGCUGCCUCCGGCAGCGCUGACGCUGAAGCAGUUCUUGAGAAGGCAGCAGGUUCUUCAGUUAUACAGAAGAAUUCUGCAGGCUAUUCGUCAGGUACCUACUGAAACUGAUCGGCACUAUCUAAAGGAGUGGGCAAGGGAAGAAUUCAAAAGAAAUAAAGAUGCAACAGAUGAGGAUGCAAUUAGGAUGAUGAUUACUCAGGGCAACAUGCAGCUUCGGGAGCUUGAAAGAACACUUCAGCUGGCAAACUCCUAAUCUUAAUUCUGAGAGCCAAUGGACUUUCAUCCACUGUGGGAAGUACAGUACUUUCUCCAGGAUGUAGCACCUCAUCUUAUGCUAAGAUACCGAUCUCCAAUAAAGAGAGGAAAGCAGUUUGAAAAUUCAAAACUAUAUGAAGUUCUUUGGUUUGAUAGCCCCCACACAGUGCAUAGCCUGGAGGAGUGUCUCUGAAGAAUUUCCUUGGACUCUUACGGAACUCUCUAUGAUUUCCACUUUUCAAACACAGGGGAGGACUCCACCUGCAGACUUCUAUUACAGUAUUCGGGUGGGGCCAUCCUAUGUCUUCAAAAUGAGCAACCAAGAAUAGCUUGCAGUCAGGUGCAUGUAA